Molecule: transfer RNA, 74 nt
Filed under: Candidatus Nanohaloarchaea archaeon
Lineage: Archaea; Methanobacteriati; Methanobacteriota; Candidatus Nanohaloarchaea
Description: Nanohaloarchaea archaeon tRNA-Ala
Rfam family: tRNA
About the family: Transfer RNA (tRNA) molecules are approximately 80 nucleotides in length.
Source: RNAcentral
GGGCUCUUAGUUCAGCUUGGCGGAACGCCGGCUUCGCAAGCAGGAGGCCGUGGGUUCAAAUCCCACAGAGUCCA